UUUGUUCCGCGGGACACUCCGGAGCGGUCAAACAAUAAAAUCGCCGCUCCCAUAGCGUAUAUAGAUGUUGUUGAAGAUUAAAAGCGGUGUAGUUUCGUCUUGGGGUCCCCUGACCUUUCUUCCUGACAAAAGGAAACCAUUCCGGCCGGGCCUUUCCCUCUGGGGAACCCUAUGCCCUUCACAGGGUUUUCCGGGGAAACAGGACUUUUACUGUGAAAAAAUUAGAGUGUUCCAAGCAGGCCUGCGCUCGAAUACAUCAGCAUGGAAUAAUCGAAUGGGACGUGCGGUUAUUUCAUGUUGGUUUAUUGGACCACCGUAAUGCUUGAUACGGACAGUUGGGGGCAUCAGUAUUCAAUUGUCAGAGGUGAAAUUCUUGGAUUGAGCGAAGACUACCCCACUGCAAAAGCAUUUGCCAAGGAUGUUUUAAUUAAUCAGGAAGGUUUUUUCCGAUCGAAGACGAUCAGAUACCGUCGUAGUCUUAACCAUAAAGCAUCUACUAUAGAUCUACGGAUCAUCCGUAGCUCGU
This 526-nucleotide ribosomal RNA is filed under the name uncultured Glomus. Its description in RNAcentral is "bacterial SSU rRNA". It matches the Rfam family "Eukaryotic small subunit ribosomal RNA", at positions 570 to 1089 of the family's 1831-position model. Lineage: Eukaryota; Fungi; Glomeromycota; Glomeromycetes; Glomerales; Glomeraceae. The record is from RNAcentral.